RNAcentral lists this unclassified non-coding RNA (225 nucleotides) under plant metagenome. RNAcentral's name for it is "partial contains small subunit ribosomal RNA, internal transcribed spacer 1, and 5.8S ribosomal RNA". The record is from RNAcentral.
UCUCCGUUGGUGAACCAGCGGAGGGAUCAUUACAGGACUCGCAAGACUCCUACUACCCUGUGAACUUAACUAUAAGCACGUUGCUUCGGCGGGUGUCUCGGAGGGGGUUCUCCCUCCCCGAGACGCUAAACCCGCCGGCAGCCUACUAUACUCUGUCUCUUUGCGUUGGCAUCUCGAGUACAAUCAAACAAGUUAAAACUUUCAACAACGGAUCUCUUGGUUCUG